GGGAAUUGCAGGGGAAAUCAGGGAGGGAUUCUCAGAGGAGCAGACAUUUGCUCUGGAUCAGAAGGGCUCUGGUAGAUGUGUGAAUGGACAGCAAAAUGCCAAAGGCAAGUGGCCAGAGGAAGAGCAGCAACCUGGACAUUUAGCCUCUGGAAAAAUGAAAAGUCACUGGAGUCUCCUUUCAUUUUUGAGAGCAGAAGCUGCCUGGCUUCUAAACUUCUGAGUGCCGAGCCUCAAAUGCCAGGUAUCAAGUAGGAGAUGAGUGCUUAUGUGGCAGCAUGGAUGAAUUUGGGUGGGGGGAUGAUUCGUAGGAGCUGUGGAGUAAGUAGAUUGGGGAAAAUAUAGGGGAACAUCUGUCUUUGGCAAAACGCUAAGCCACUGAGGUAUCUUCAGGGCACUGCAUUCAACAUGGAAAAAAUUAAAUUCUGUUGCAUCCAAAUGACUGCCUGGUCACUUUGAGAACAGCAAAGUGGUAGUUAUUCUUGAAGAAGUGUGUGGAAGAAAAAUUAGCAAAAGGAGGUUAUAACCUAGGACUUCUGAGAAGCCUCCCUAAGAUCUAAGGGAGAUUGUUGCUUCUCCACAGAGGAAAAGCUGGGCAUUGCUCUGAAUUUCAAUGAAGUGUUACUGCUAGCCAUUAAAAAUGAAAAUUUUCCUACAUCCAGUAGCCUGUAGGUGUGUAAGUGUCCUUACCAAUCUGUGUUCCAUCUUUUGGCAAAUUAAUAGGACAUGAACUUAUCUGUUUAAACUUUAUACAAAAUUCCUAACUCCAAGGGGUAAAAAUUGUCAGGCUCCCAAAUUCAAAUCUAGAGAAGUUAGAAUCCUUAUUGUUUACAAAGCUUGCCCAUCAGAUGGAGCUGGUGUUAAUUAACUCUGGCGUCCCUACAUUCACUUUGCAUAUUCAGUGGUUGCUAUGAAAAUCUGGGUCUGAAUAACAAAUGCACAGCCGGCACCAUUAAGCAGAGUGCUGCCAUCACAUAUUUUUCCUCGGGUUGCUUCUGUUACCAAUCAAACUUGCAGACGUGAGACUAGAGCGUUUCUGACAGUGAGUCCCACAAUAAGAUGCUGUUCAUUUAUUUUGGCAGUGGGUCAUCCAAUUCUAAGAAGGCAGCUGUGCGUGGCAUAGCCCAGCAUUAUAACUCAAAAUCUGUCCUUAACACUUGCAGGACAUGGGGUUAUGGCAUUUUAGAGGGAGACCGAACAGAUAGAAGGCUGCAUUAAGAAACAGCAGUUAAAAUGCCAUCUCUGCCUUGUAAAAUCCCUUAUGCACAGUACAAUGUUUUCAGUUAUUAAACGAGCAUAAUUUAAAGGGCAAUUUACUUUUCAUCAUUUGUACUAUUGUAUUCCUACCAUAUUGGCCAGUUUUUUUUUUUUUCUUUGUAGACAAUUUUCAACUUGAGCUGUUUAAUAGUAGCUCACAAGUAUAUUUGUCUCAAGCCAAGAGGCUUGCAUUGUUAUUUUAGGAAUUAUAGUGGGCAUUUUUCAAGUUGUAUUAAGUUCUUCAAAUGCCCUAUUAAAAAAAUAUUCUCGACAUAAAGCAAGCCAACAAGACAAUAACUGCGAAAUGAGCCUUUAUUUUUUUUACCGAUACUUUUUUGGACAACAAAAUUGUGAGCUCACUUUGAGGGAAUUCUGAGCACAUGGGGAAACACCCAUGUAUGUAGCCCAGGAUCAUGCUGACCUACCGUGAUGCACACGGCUUGGGGCUCACAUGACCAGAAAACCCACAGACGCUCUAAUGAUAGACACAUCUUUUUCCUUUUGGCGUUGGCAGGAUGCUCACUAUAAACUGACAGCAGUUUAACUGGGUUGCUAAGCAGGGCUGGGGGUGAGAAGGAAAGGAGGAGAUAACAAAGGGGUCCCAAGCAGUUUUUCUCUUUUCCCCAGCACGAAAAGUACACAAUGUGUGUGUGUUUCCUCUGUAAAUUAUGAGGCAAAUAUCUAACUAUGAAUACUCAAAUCAAGUUUUUUUGGGUCAAUGCUUCUAGAAUAAAAUACUAUGAGCAUCCAGGGCCAUGGACAUACAUGAGAUACUACUGCUUUGCACGUAUGCUAGAGUCUACCGACUUCGGUUCACUCCGUUGUGUAAAUCUGCAUUGUUUGAUGUUGGAAUAGAGAUUUGGGUUUGGAACUGAGAUCUAUUCGUAUACUUUUUUGUAAUUCUUCCUUCUCUGAUGAUUUCCUUUUAUUCUACUUUGCUUUAAACCAGACAGUCCUAAAAUAAUCUGUACCUUGAACAGACUGGCAUUGUCAGGGAAUACGUGCUGCUGUUCCAUGGAAACCAUCUCCAUGAGUCAGAAAGAAAAUGCCAAUCCUGUUGUCCUGAUACUGUGAUGUACGUUGCUAAUGUAACACCUGAUAUGCGUAAACUGGGCAAGAGUUGCUUCUCCAAGAGCUGCUGUGCAGAAUGCAGGGAGAGAUGGAGCCAUUUGGAAGUAGAACACGUGUUUAGGGAAGGCAGUCACACCAUCUCAGAGGUAGGCCUUCCCAUCUGCCUCUUGGUGGGGCUCCUCUCUCCUGAAUAGUGUGCACGGCUUUAGGGCAGUGAGUGGAAGACACUCAUGGUGGUCCUGAGACCCUGAUGUUCAUCAGGGGGGCGGGCCACACAAGCCUUGCUCCUGAAUUCUUAGCGCUCAAACAAAUCAGCUACCUGCAAGAAUCCAAUUAAUCAGACUCUGUGGUAGGAAGAGGUGAGAAUAGAAAACUCAGAUGUCUUCAAAGUAUUAAGCAAAACAAAUUGCCUAUCUGUUUCUGUCUGUGGCAUCAGGGGUCUGCUUUAAGCCAGGGGUUGGCAAGCUGUGACCUUCAGCCUACUUUUGCACAGUCCAAAUCUAAAAAUGAUUGUUUAUAUUUUUAAAGCAUUG
This 2858-nucleotide long non-coding RNA is filed under the name Sus scrofa (pig). Its description in RNAcentral is "lncRNA (ENSSSCG00060050164.1)". The record is from RNAcentral. Lineage: Eukaryota; Metazoa; Chordata; Mammalia; Artiodactyla; Suidae.